This 234-nucleotide small RNA is filed under the name Pongo abelii (Sumatran orangutan). RNAcentral describes it as "processed transcript". The record is from RNAcentral. Lineage: Eukaryota; Metazoa; Chordata; Mammalia; Primates; Hominidae.
UUUCCUCAUCUUGUACUGGAGAAAAUUCUUGUGAGUCUCACUAUGAAAAACUGUAAAGCUGCAAUGAAUUUUUUCCAAAGUGUGCCAGAAUGAAGUAGAAGAACUAUUUCUUCAGACAACUUUUGACAAGAUGGACUUUUUAACCAUUGUGAGAGAAUGUGGUAUAGAAAAGCACCAGUCCAGUAUUGGCUUCUCUGUCCACCAGAAUCUCAAGGAAUCACUGGAUCGCUAUCU